UAUUUUUCGUUUUGAUUUCGAGUUUUUUUUUUUUUUGCAUUUCUUUUUUUCUUCUUCUUUUUUUCUGUUU
This 70-nucleotide non-coding RNA is filed under the name uncultured eukaryote. The record is from RNAcentral.